Non-coding RNA from Jannaschia donghaensis, 48 nucleotides. The record is from Rfam. Lineage: Bacteria; Pseudomonadati; Pseudomonadota; Alphaproteobacteria; Rhodobacterales; Roseobacteraceae.
CAACCAUCCCAACGGCUUCCUGACGGGGUGUGAUGACAAAUCGGAGCA